RNAcentral lists this ribosomal RNA (1396 nucleotides) under Shigella flexneri. RNAcentral's name for it is "16S ribosomal RNA". It matches the Rfam family "Bacterial small subunit ribosomal RNA". The record is from RNAcentral. Lineage: Bacteria; Pseudomonadati; Pseudomonadota; Gammaproteobacteria; Enterobacterales; Enterobacteriaceae.
CACCUCCUUAGAGUUUGAUCCUGGCUCAGAUUGAACGCUGGCGGCAGGCCUAACACAUGCAAGUCGAACGGUAACAGGAAUCAGCUUGCUGAUUCGCUGACGAGUGGCGGACGGGUGAGUAAUGUCUGGGAAACUGCCUGAUGGAGGGGGAUAACUACUGGAAACGGUAGCUAAUACCGCAUAACGUCGCAAGACCAAAGAGGGGGACCUUCGGGCCUCUUGCCAUCGGAUGUGCCCAGAUGGGAUUAGCUAGUAGGUGGGGUAACGGCUCACCUAGGCGACGAUCCCUAGCUGGUCUGAGAGGAUGACCAGCCACACUGGAACUGAGACACGGUCCAGACUCCUACGGGAGGCAGCAGUGGGGAAUAUUGCACAAUGGGCGCAAGCCUGAUGCAGCCAUGCCGCGUGUAUGAAGAAGGCCUUCGGGUUGUAAAGUACUUUCAGCGGGGAGGAAGGGAGUAAAGUUAAUACCUUUGCUCAUUGACGUUACCCGCAGAAGAAGCACCGGCUAACUCCGUGCCAGCAGCCGCGGUAAUACGGAGGGUGCAAGCGUUAAUCGGAAUUACUGGGCGUAAAGCGCACGCAGGCGGUUUGUUAAGUCAGAUGUGAAAUCCCCGGGCUCAACCUGGGAACUGCAUCUGAUACUGGCAAGCUUGAGUCUCGUAGAGGGGGGUAGAAUUCCAGGUGUAGCGGUGAAAUGCGUAGAGAUCUGGAGGAAUACCGGUGGCGAAGGCGGCCCCCUGGACGAAGACUGACGCUCAGGUGCGAAAGCGUGGGGAGCAAACAGGAUUAGAUACCCCUGGUAGUCCACGCCGUAAACGAUGUCGACUUGGAGGUUGUGCCCUUGAGGCGUGGCUUCCCGGAGCUAACGCGUUAAGUCGACCGCCUGGGGAGUACGGCCGCAAGGUUAAAACUCAAAUGAAUUGACGGGGGCCCGCACAAGCGGUGGAGCAUGUGGUUUAAUUCGAUGCAACGCGAAGAACCUUACCUGGUCUUGACAUCCACAGAACUUUCCAGAGAUGGAUUGGUGCCUUCGGGAACUGUGAGACAGGUGCUGCAUGGCUGUCGUCAGCUCGUGUUGUGAAAUGUUGGGUUAAGUCCCGCAACGAGCGCAACCCUUAUCCUUUGUUGCCAGCGGUCCGGCCGGGAACUCAAAGGAGACUGCCAGUGAUAAACUGGAGGAAGGUGGGGAUGACGUCAAGUCAUCAUGGCCCUUACGACCAGGGCUACACACGUGCUACAAUGGCGCAUACAAAGAGAAGCGACCUCGCGAGAGCAAGCGGACCUCAUAAAGUGCGUCGUAGUCCGGAUUGGAGUCUGCAACUCGACUCCAUGAAGUCGGAAUCGCUAGUAAUCGUGGAUCAGAAUGCCACGGUGAAUACGUUCCCGGGCCUUG